GGUUGUAUAGAUUAAUUUUUAUAAAUCAUGAUGCUGUUAACUUCAAGAUGGGUUAUUUGCUCUAUAACCG
This 70-nucleotide transfer RNA is filed under the name Duthiersia expansa. RNAcentral's name for it is "tRNA-Asn". Lineage: Eukaryota; Metazoa; Platyhelminthes; Cestoda; Diphyllobothriidea; Diphyllobothriidae. The record is from RNAcentral.